AGAGAAGAAGAAACGAUCUGAGAGAAAAGAAGCAUGAAAAGGGCUAAGACGAAAGGUUAAAAGUUUAAGAAGAUAAGAUAAAUAAGAAGAAAGAAGAAAACCCAGGCUAAUUCCUCUCUCGGUACUCAGCCAACGAGGUGGAAGUUGAAUUAGUGAGGAUGACUCCUGCUCCUGUCAUCUCUAAGCUCCUCACACAUCUUUACCUGCACAUGAGGAAAAUCACUCCUGUAGAAUGCAGAUGUUCAGAGGGAGAUGAUGCCACAUCUGGUCCAGCUGAUGGAAGGUCUUGAAGUUCUCUGACUGGCCUCAACUGAAGAUGGUCGUCUCACUGGAUUUAAGGUUCAGAUGCUCAGUAACAAACUCCACCAAUGAGCCAACAGGAAGCUUUAGGUUUUUUAAAUGUUGCUAUGAAGGUAUCGCUGUUUUUCUUUGUGAAUGCAAUGUGCUCCAACUGAAACUUGAAUUAGAACUUAGAAGUAUAUCCUUCCAUCUGAAAGGAUUUAGUUGCAUUAAUAACCUCAUAACAUUCUCAUUUUUAUUCCAGUCUUGGUUGGAAAUAGAAUCUCUGUAUUGAUUCAGGUAAAAACUGAACUUCACAACAUGUUGGAGCAAAACAACCAGAUGAAAACAGUGAUGGUGUUGGAUUGUCAGUAGAGCUGGGCGAUAAAUCGAUUUUAUCGAUUAAUUCGACUUUGUACUUAAUGUCGAUUUGUUUUAAUGAAAAUCGAUUUUCUCAUCAGCAUUCGCCACCAAUGCCUGCCUGCUGGGCUCCCGUAGUUCAGAAUGCGCGCCCCCCUCCCCCCCGCACUUGAUACACAAACAACAUGGCGGCGAGCGGUGCAGAUCUAAAGGCGUGCGUCCACUAGAUGCAAUUUCACCGCAUCUGACGGAUGGUCACUAGCGGACCACAACAUGGUCACAUGACAGCGCUGAGCAACAGCAGGCCGCUACGUGGUAAGUGACCGAGCUUUCAGCUGGACAGUCCUGCAGACAAGUCGGAUAAACACAGCGGCUCGGCCGCAAAUUUUCCCUUUUAUUUCAAACAACACGUCAGCAAAAACUAUUUCUAAAAGCAUUUGAGGCGAGAAAUAAUCUGUGCAGCAGCGGAAUCUGUCCUCAUUUUAAGUCACCGACGCCUAGUUUACAAGUUUGAGGACAGUUUCACGAUGCGUGGAAUCUCCGCACGCCACAUCCAAUUUGCAUAAAGUAGAAGUCAGUCUACUUUAUGCAAAUAAGCUGCAGCCCUCUCUGUGUAAACAUGCCGGAUCGCAGCGGGAAACGCACCGCAACAGGACCAGCAUGCCACAUGCGGCGCAUUUCCAGCUGCGAUCCAGUGUGUUUACAUGGAGCGGGCUGCAGCUCAUUUGCAUAAAGUAGACUGGACUCCGGCGUGCGGAGAUUAGGUAGGGGGUAAAAAAAAUUGGGUGAAUCGGGACUUUUUUGUGAAAAAAUCAGAUAUUUUUUAGGCCAUAUUGCCCAGACCUAAUCGUCAGGCCGUAAUGUUGCAGCUCAAAGCAGCUUUUCUAGCUCAGUUCAUUCUGACAUUCAGCUAUGAAUCAACACAGCAGAUGGUGAUCCAUGCUGUGGAAGUCUCACAUCUCCUGAUUUAAUGGAGCUGCUUUGCACUUUUUACACUGUUUAUUCACCAACACUUUAUUUAAUAAAAGUCCCAUCUAGUUUUUAUGAGGAAUGUGAUGUUUUAAUUUCUCUGUGAAUAACUGCAGUCUAAUGGAACAGCUGGAGUUGUAACAUCUGUCCUGAUAUUGAUCAUGAAGUAUUGAUCAGACUGUUUAUGGUCAGCAGUCAUCCCUGAAGUUUUACAUUAAAAUCUUUACUUGUGUUGUGAACUUUGGUAAGAAGCAGAAACGUUAGCGUUGCCAUGAAUAUAUGAGUGUUAAAUUCUGUCCAUGUUUCCAUUUUGGGAAAUUCAGUCCAGCAGAUGAGUUUGUUUUUCCCGCCAGCUACCAUUCAGUCUGAGAUAUUAAGAAUAAAUAAAUGUGCAUAAUGUGGAAAUGAAUAGAUUCUAUUUUGAUUUAUACCUACAGCUGCUGCAGGUAACAUGACAGAAUGUGGAGGAAUUUAGUCUCACAAUCACAGACAAAUAUUAUCUGAAAGUCAGGUUAUUGUUGCUUAUCAACACAAUACAAAAAGAUUAAUGUUAGACAUAUUCCAGUUAAGACUCUAGAAUAUCAUGAUUUAUAUAAAUUUACCUCAAUAAUAUGAAUGUUCAGGUUAAGAUUGUGCAGUGAUAUUUAUUAUGUAAGUUUAGCUGAUUAAAGUUUAUGACUGCACUAAAAUAUUAUUUAAUUUGACAUCAUUAUUGUAAUAUUUAGGGUCAGACCCUACAGUAUUGAGAUUAAGAAAUCAAAUAUUCUAUAAAAUAUAAAUAAACUGAACUCAUUUGGAUAUAUUUAAGUGAGACUCUACAAUAUUAAUUGACACAAAUCUAUCUAAAUCAAAAUUUUAAUCAUUUUUACUCCAGACAUUUACUGGACUGAUUUAAACAUUAAAUUCAUUCCUUUCUAAUCCUCUGCUGUACGUUCAAACCUGAGGCCUUAAAUGGAAACACACAAGUAUUUUAUUGAAGGAACUUCUGCAGAGUCCUGGUUCCAGAACAUGAUGAUAGAAUUAUAGACAAACUUUAACAAAAGCUGUCUGAGAGUUUACAGGUUUUUAUGUUGGAUUUCUUCAGUAAUUUAAUGAGCGUUAUCAGCAAUAAUCAAGUGUUCAUUUGAUGAACUUCAUUUACUAAAACAUCCAGAAUUGGAGCUCAUAUCUUUGGCAGCUGUAAAGUUUCUCUCUUUCAAAGUUCACAACACAAGUGAAUUAUUUCCUAAAACACUCUCAAUGCUGGAGAGCGUUUGUGAUGCUGAAGCAGUGAUCAGUUUUUCUGUUUCUUCUCUGGAGAUGCACAAUGAGGGACGUCUGCAGAGACUGAGAAAGAGUCUCGCCACAUCCUGACAUGAGGAAAAAGACUUUAUUGAAGACUACAAUGAGAAAAACUAUCAGACAGCAGAUGGCUGCAUUCAAGUCUGUAGCUGCUGAAUUCAUGGAUGAAUCAUCUGGCACUAGAGAAGAAGACCAUCAAACAUCCACGUCAGCUGAUGGAGGUCCAAGAGUCUCACCGAACAACCAACCUACAGAGUGAAGACCUCAAAUCUGAUUGGACGGCCUCCUAUUCAGCCACAUGUGUGAACAAAUGCCUCUAAGCUGAUUUGUUUUCUAAAAUAAAUCUAGUUUGAGUCCUAA
This is a long non-coding RNA of Amphiprion ocellaris (clown anemonefish), 3249 nucleotides long. RefSeq lists it as uncharacterized. The transcript has 4 exons. Lineage: Eukaryota; Metazoa; Chordata; Actinopteri; Pomacentridae. The record is from RefSeq and is a predicted model, not a curated record.